CCUACGGGUGGCAGCAGUGGGGAAUAUUGGGCAAUGGAGGAAACUCUGACCCAGCAACGCCGCGUGAAGGAUGAAGGUUUUCGGAUUGUAAACUUCUGUCGCGAGGGAUGAAGAAUGACGGUACUUCGUAAGAAAGCGCCGGCAAACUACGUGCCAGCAGGCGCGGUAAUACGUAGGGGGCGAGCGUUGCCCGGAAUGACUGGGCGUAAAGGGAGUGUAGGCGGCAUAUUAAGUUAUGUGUGAAAGCUCGCGGCUCAACCGCGGAAUUGCACAUAAAACUGGUAAGCUGGAGUGCAGGAGAGGUAAGUGGAAUUCCCGGUGUAGCGGUGAAAUGCUUAGAGAUCAUACAGAACACCGAUUGCGAAGGUAGCUUACCAAGCUACUUCUGACGUUGAGGCACGAAAGCGUGGGGAGCAAACAGGAUUAGAUACCCCUGUAGUC
This 441-nucleotide ribosomal RNA is filed under the name uncultured bacterium. RNAcentral describes it as "partial 16S ribosomal RNA". It matches the Rfam family "Bacterial small subunit ribosomal RNA", at positions 338 to 795 of the family's 1533-position model. The record is from RNAcentral.